Molecule: unclassified non-coding RNA, 260 nt
Filed under: Hevea brasiliensis (rubber tree)
Lineage: Eukaryota; Viridiplantae; Streptophyta; Magnoliopsida; Malpighiales; Euphorbiaceae
Source: RNAcentral
AUAGGACUCAUAAUAGAACUGAAACUUCAAAUGAAUCUCCUAUGAAAAGUUUUAACUUCUUUGAUAGAUUUAGGUGUUGCCUACUUAGUAAUAGCUUGAACCUUUUCUGGAUCUGGUUUCAAACCUUUUGCAGAUGCAAAGAAACCAAGAAAAAUUGCAGUGUUUCAAGUUUAUAUAGAGCUGCUCCCUUUGAAGUACCUCUAAAACUUGUCGCAAAUGUUUCAAGCGCUCUUCCUUAUUGUGGCCAUAGAUCAAAAUGU